UAGUCAUAUGCUUGUCUCAAAGAUUAAGCCAUGCACGUGUAAGAUCGUCUUGAAUAGCAAUAUUUACCGGCAAUCUGUGGAAAGCUCAUUAUAACAGUUACAAACUUGGCUUUCUAGCUUAAAGUUAAAAGGAUAACACAGUCAAAUGCAGUGAUAAUACUUGAACCAAAGCUAAUGAAUUCAUAGUUAGCGAAUAAUAGCGAGUAAGGGAAAAUACGCUAUAGUAUCUUCGGAUCAAUUGACCUCUUUAGAGGCCUAGGAGAAGUAUUUCUUACUUAUCAUGCUAGUUGUUUCAGUAAGGGUGAAACAAGGCCGUCACGGGUACGGAAAAUUGGGGUUUGACACCGGAGAGGGAGCCUGAGAAAUGGCUACCACAUCUAAGGAUGGCAGCAGGCGCGAAAAUUACCCAAUCCUAACAUUUGGGAGGUAGUGACAAGAAAUAACGUCCUUCCAUUCAUGGAAGGGUACCGCAAGGUUUGGAAUGGUUCUAGUUCAAAUUUCUAUUAGAGUAACAAUU
This 517-nucleotide ribosomal RNA is filed under the name uncultured eukaryote. RNAcentral describes it as "bacterial SSU rRNA". It matches the Rfam family "Eukaryotic small subunit ribosomal RNA", at positions 21 to 549 of the family's 1831-position model. The record is from RNAcentral.